GGACUACCAGGGUAUCUAAUCCUGUUUGCUACCCACGCUUUCGUGCCUCAGCGUCAGUUACAGUUUAGCGAGCUGCCUUCGCAAUUGGUGUUCUGUGUCAUAUCUAAGCAUUUCACCGCUACAUGACACAUUCCGCCCACCUCAACUGUACUCAAGACUAACAGUAUCAAUGGCAAUUCUACAGUUAAGCUGUAGGCUUUCACCACUGACUUAUUAAUCCGCCUACGCACCCUUUAAACCCAAUAAAUCCGGAUAACGCUUGGAUCCUCCGUAUUACCGCGGCUGCUGGCAC
Molecule: ribosomal RNA, 292 nt
Filed under: uncultured bacterium
Lineage: Bacteria
Description: partial 16S ribosomal RNA
Source: RNAcentral